This 301-nucleotide ribosomal RNA is filed under the name uncultured bacterium. Its description in RNAcentral is "partial 16S ribosomal RNA". It matches the Rfam family "Bacterial small subunit ribosomal RNA", at positions 509 to 808 of the family's 1533-position model. The record is from RNAcentral.
CAGUAGCCGCGGUAAGACAGAGGAUGCAAGCGUUAUCCGGAAUGAUUGGGCGUAAAGCGUCUGUAGGUGGCUUUUCAAGUCCGCCGUCAAAUCCCAGGGCUCAACCCUGGACAGGCGGUGGAAACUACCAAGCUGGAGAACGGUAGGGGCAGAGGGAAUUUCCGGUGGAGCGGUGAAAUGCGUUGAGAUCGGAAGAACACCAACGGCGAAAGCACUCUGCUGGGCCGACACUGACACUGAGAGACGAAAGCUAGGGGAGCAAAUGGGAUUAGAUACCCCCGUAGUCCCUGUCUCUUAUACA